UACGGAAGGCAGCAGUGGGGAAUAUUGCACAAUGGGCGCAAGCCUGAUGCAGCCAUGCCGCGUGUAUGAAGAAGGCCUUCGGGUUGUAAAGUACUUUCAGUCGUGAGGAAGGUGUUAAGGUUAAUAACCUUAGCAAUUGACGUUAGCGACAGAAGAAGCACCGGCUAACUCCGUGCCAGCAGCCGCGGUAAUACGGAGGGUGCGAGCGUUAAUCGGAAUUACUGGGCGUAAAGGGCACGCAGGCGGUUAAUUAAGUUGGAUGUGAAUCCCCGGGCUUAACCUGGGAAUGGCAUUCAAGACUGGUUAGCUAGAGUCUUGUAGAGGGGGUAGAAUUCCAUGUGUAGCGGUGAAAUGCGUAGAGAUGUGGAGGAAUACCGGUGGCGAAGGCGGCCCCUGGACAAAGACUGACGCUCAUGUGCGAAAGCGUGGGGAGCAAACAGGGAUUAGAUAC
This 451-nucleotide ribosomal RNA is filed under the name uncultured bacterium. RNAcentral describes it as "bacterial SSU rRNA". It matches the Rfam family "Bacterial small subunit ribosomal RNA", at positions 340 to 785 of the family's 1533-position model. The record is from RNAcentral.